AUGCUCGUGAUGCAUAUAGUUCAAUCAAAGAAGGUGGUCAAGAACGUAGCACACGCAAAGCAGACGCCAAGCAUGGCAAGUCAAGCUCACGCCAAAGAAAAGGCUUAAGCAAAUAUCAAAGCAGCAUGCAAUUUAUCCAUGGCAAGCAAAAUUCUCAAGCAAUUCCCAUGACAAACAAAUUCUCCCUCAAAAUGCAAAAAGAUUCAAGCAUUGCAGAGCAUGCAUUCUGUCAAUUUCUAUUUCCACAAGAUCGGAGAAAAGUCCAGAUUUAAUCAAGCGUGUGUUCACAAGAAAAACAAGCCUAGGCCAAACACCAGUCUAUGUCUAUUCCUACAAAGCCAAAAGAAAGACUCAAGAUUCCAGUGAAGGAGCAGAACUAUUUACUGAGAAAUCGAGAUAG
This 400-nucleotide long non-coding RNA is filed under the name Prunus dulcis (almond). Its description in RNAcentral is "sRNA ncRNA". Lineage: Eukaryota; Viridiplantae; Streptophyta; Magnoliopsida; Rosales; Rosaceae. The record is from RNAcentral.